UGAUUUUUCUCAGACUGGUUGUGU
RNAcentral lists this non-coding RNA (24 nucleotides) under Mus musculus (house mouse). Lineage: Eukaryota; Metazoa; Chordata; Mammalia; Rodentia; Muridae. The record is from RNAcentral.